Molecule: long non-coding RNA, 204 nt
Organism: Nothoprocta perdicaria
Lineage: Eukaryota; Metazoa; Chordata; Aves; Tinamiformes; Tinamidae
Exons: 3
Source: RefSeq, a predicted model, not a curated record
ACUCAGGAAAAGUUGUUUAUGCUCUGCAUGGCUCUUCUUUAACUUUAACAGCAUCUCUUUGGGGCUGCUCUAGCUUUGUGGUCAGCUGAAGGAUGAAGAGAAAGCCGCUUGGACAUGGAAGAGAGAAGAAUCUCCCUGAACUGAACAAAUGUGUCACUUUUGAAUAAGGAUUCAUGAAAAGGCAGAGAAGGAGAAGAAAAAAGA